CCUACGGGUGGCUGCAGUGGGGAAUAUUGGACAAUGGGCGAAAGCCUGAUCCAGCCAUGCCGCGUGUGUGAAGAAGGCCUUCGGGUUGUAAAGCACUUUCAGUGGGGAAGAAAGCCUUGGGGCUAAUACCCUCGAGGAAGGACAUCACCCACAGAAGAAGCACCGGCUAACUCCGUGCCAGCAGCCGCGGUAAUACGGAGGGUGCGAGCGUUAAUCGGAAUUACUGGGCGUAAAGCGCGCGUAGGCGGUCUGAUAAGCCGGUUGUGAAAGCCCCGGGCUCAACCUGGGAACGGCAUCCGGAACUGUCAGGCUAGAGUGCAGGAGAGGAAGGUAGAAUUCCCGGUGUAGCGGUGAAAUGCGUAGAGAUCGGGAGGAAUACCAGUGGCGAAGGCGGCCUUCUGGACUGACACUGACGCUGAGGUGCGAAAGCGUGGGUAGCAAACAGGAUUAGAUACCCGAGUCGUC
This 465-nucleotide ribosomal RNA is filed under the name Vreelandella stevensii. RNAcentral describes it as "partial 16S ribosomal RNA". It matches the Rfam family "Bacterial small subunit ribosomal RNA", at positions 338 to 795 of the family's 1533-position model. The record is from RNAcentral. Lineage: Bacteria; Pseudomonadati; Pseudomonadota; Gammaproteobacteria; Oceanospirillales; Halomonadaceae.